AACGAACGCUGGCGGCAUGCCUAACACAUGCAAGUCGAACGAGACCUUCGGGACUUGUGGCGCCUGGGUGCGUAAGGGGUGGGAACAUGCACUUAGGGUCGGCAUAACUACCCGAAAGGGGUGAUAAUACCGGACAAUGUCUAAGGACCAAAGAUUUAUCGCCUCUGAUUGGGCCAGCGUUGCAUUCGCUAGUUGGUAGGGUAAAAGCUUACGAAGGCGACGAUGAAUAGCUGGCCAGAGAGGGUGAUUAGCCACACUGGGACUGAGACACGGUCCGGAAUCCUACGGGAGGCAGAAGUAGGGAAUCUUCCGCAAUGGGCGAAAGCCUGACGGAGCAACGCCGCGUGAGUUAUGAAGGUCUUCGGAUCGUAAAACUCUGUUAUUAGGGAAGAACAUAUGUGUAAGUAACUGUGCACAUCUUGACGGUACCUAAUCAGAAAGCCACGGCUAACUACGUG
This 458-nucleotide ribosomal RNA is filed under the name uncultured bacterium. Its description in RNAcentral is "partial 16S ribosomal RNA". It matches the Rfam family "Bacterial small subunit ribosomal RNA", at positions 29 to 507 of the family's 1533-position model. The record is from RNAcentral.